GACGAACGCUGGCGGCGUGCUUAACACAUGCAAGUCGAACGGAAAGGCCCUGCUUUUGUGGGGUGCUCGAGUGGCGAAUGGGUGAGUAACACGUGAGUAACCUGCCCUUGACUUUGGGAUAACUUCAGGAAACUGGGGCUAAUACCGGAUAGGAGCUCCUGCUGCAUGGUGGGGGUUGGAAAGUUUCGGCGGUUGGGGAUGGACUCGCGGCUUAUCAGCUUGUUGGUGGGGUAGUGGCUUACCAAGGCUUUGACGGGUAGCCGGCCUGAGAGGGUGACCGGCCACAUUGGGACUGAGAUACGGCCCCGACUGCUACGGGAGGCAGCAGUGGGGCAUAUUGCGCAAUGGGCGGAAGCCUGAUGCAGCAAGGCCGCGUGCGGGAUGACGGCCUUCGGGUUGUAAACCGCUUUCGCCUGUGACGAAGCGUGAGUGACGGUAAUGGGUAAAGAAGCACCGGCUAACUACGUG
This 468-nucleotide ribosomal RNA is filed under the name uncultured bacterium. Its description in RNAcentral is "partial 16S ribosomal RNA". It matches the Rfam family "Bacterial small subunit ribosomal RNA", at positions 28 to 507 of the family's 1533-position model. The record is from RNAcentral.